UGCCAGCCGCCGCGGUAACACGGGGGGCGCAAGCGUUAUUCGGAAUUAUUGGGCGUAAAGGGCGCGCAGGCGGUCUUGUCCGUCAGGUGUGAAAGCUCGGGGCUCAACCUCGGAACUGCACUCGAGACUGUGAAGCUGGAGAUCGGAAGAGGAGAGUGGAACACCCAGUGUAGAGGUGAAAUUCGUAGAUAUUGGGUGGAACACCGGUGGCGAAAGCGGCUCUCUGGUCCGUAUCUGACGCUGAGGCGCGAAAGCGUGGGGAGCAAACAGGAUUAGAUA
Molecule: ribosomal RNA, 279 nt
Filed under: uncultured bacterium
Lineage: Bacteria
Description: partial 16S ribosomal RNA
Rfam family: Bacterial small subunit ribosomal RNA
Source: RNAcentral